This 497-nucleotide ribosomal RNA is filed under the name uncultured bacterium. Its description in RNAcentral is "partial 16S ribosomal RNA". It matches the Rfam family "Bacterial small subunit ribosomal RNA", at positions 28 to 507 of the family's 1533-position model. The record is from RNAcentral.
GAUGAACGCUGGCGGCGUGCCUAAUACAUGCAAGUCGAGCGAACAGACGAGGAGCUUGCUCCUCUGACGUUAGCGGCGGACGGGUGAGUAACACGUGGAUAACCUACCUAUAAGACUGGGAUAACUUCGGGAAACCGGAGCUAAUACCGGAUAAUAUAUUGAACCGCAUGGUUCAAUAGUUAAAGACGGUUUUGCUGUCACUUAUAGAUGGAUCCGCGCAGCAUUAGCUAGUUGGUAAGGUAACGGCUUACCAAGGCAACGAUGCGUAGCCGACCUGAGAGGGUGAUCGGCCACACUGGAACUGAGACACGGUCCAGACUCCUACGGGAGGCAGCAGUAGGGAAUCUUCCGCAAUGGGCGAAAGCCUGACGGAGCAACGCCGCGUGAGUGAUGAAGGUCUUCGGAUCGUAAAACUCUGUUAUUAGGGAAGAACAAAUGUGUAAGUAACUAUGCACGUCUUGACGGUACCUAAUCAGAAAGCCACGGCUAACUACGUG